RNAcentral lists this ribosomal RNA (500 nucleotides) under uncultured bacterium. RNAcentral's name for it is "partial 16S ribosomal RNA". It matches the Rfam family "Bacterial small subunit ribosomal RNA", at positions 30 to 523 of the family's 1533-position model. The record is from RNAcentral.
AUUGAACGCUGGCGGCAGGCCUAACACAUGCAAGUCGAGCGGAUGAAGAGAGCUUGCUCUCUGAUUUAGCGGCGGACGGGUGAGUAACGCCUAGGAAUCUGCCUGGUAGUGGGGGAUAACGUUCCGAAGGGAACGCUAAUACCGCAUACGUCCUACGGUAGAAAGCAGGGGACCUUCGGGCCUUGCGCUAUCAGAUGAGCCUAGGUCGGAUUAGCUAGUUGGUGAGGUAAUGGCUCACCAAGGCGACGAUCCGUAACUGGUCUGAGAGGAUGAUCAGUCACACUGGAACUGAGACACGGUCCAGACUCCUACGGGAGGCAGCAGUGGGGAAUAUUGGACAAUGGGCGAAAGCCUGAUCCAGCCAUGCCGCGUGUGUGAAGAAGGUCUUCGGAUUGUAAAGCACUUUAAGUUGGGAGGAAGGGCAUUAACCUAAUACGUUAGUGUUUUGACGUUACCAACAGAAUAAGCACCGGCUAACUUCGUGCCAGCCGCCGCUGUAA